Molecule: long non-coding RNA, 1009 nt
Organism: Dermochelys coriacea (leatherback sea turtle)
Lineage: Eukaryota; Metazoa; Chordata; Testudines; Dermochelyidae
Exons: 3
Source: RefSeq, a predicted model, not a curated record
UGGAAGUGGGGCUGUCUGGAGAGCGUGCCGUGUCUCACUCUGCAGCAAGCCGGGUUAUGCUGGAGCCCCCGUGGGCAGGCUGGAUGAUGGAGGGAGAGGCGGGAUCACAGGGACUCAUGGUGCUGCACAGCCGCGUAGUGAGAGGAGAAUCCCACCUCUGCCCACCUUCUUCUGGAGCAGCUGGCACUGGCCACUCUUGGAUGAGACACUGGAUUAGCUGGACCACAGCCAGCAAGUGGGGCAAUUUGCCCCAGGCCCUGCAGGGACCUCCAAGAGAGUUUUCGGCGGCAGGGGUCCUUCCACUCCAUGUCUUUGGCGAAGUGCUGCCGAAGACCCCAGGCCCCCUGAAUCCUCCGGGCGGCCCUGCCUCUCUACUCACCCACCCCCAGGCACGGCAGCAAGCCUGAGGCCUGGCCAAGCUGCCUCUCGGUUGGUCCCCUUGGAAACGGCUCUGAGACGUGCCCGUGAGCCGGGAAUCUGGGAGCGCAUUCAUCCCGCCGAGGCGGAAGCGCCGGGAAUGUUAAGCAGGUGCAGCCCAUUCAAUCUCCUUGUGAAAACCAGCAUCAAAGCAGACAGAGCCAGGCUUGUUUGCAGCGAGUGCUGUGUGACAGGAGCCCGCUGCGGGAGUUCAGAGCCCCAGCAGGGGUGAUGUGUCCUCGUUUGUGGCCCCAGGGCUCUCGGAGGAACCUGGCUGGCUCAGCGUCUCGGUUGAGCUAGAAUCGGGCUGAGCAUGGGGCUGAAGGUAUCCCCAAGAGAUGGCUUUUGGGGGCCAAUGUCCUUCACCUCUAGGGUUCCAUUCCCAUCAGAUUAUCCCCAAUACCCAUGAAUUCUCUGCUUCCCCAUGGGAAAUGCACCAGUGCAACAUGGGGCACCAAGGCUGACCAUGCCUGGCGUGGAUCAAAAACAUAGGGUCUCAGUCCUUGCUGAGAUCAGGAAAACAACGUUGUCCAAGCAGAAAGGAGGGGUUGGCAAUGGGAGCUGGUGCUUCCCACCUCCAGGAGCUGGGUUC